CAGCAGCCGCGGUAAUACGUAGGUCCCGAGCGUUGUCCGGAUUUAUUGGGCGUAAAGCGAGCGCAGGCGGUUUAAUAAGUCUGAAGUUAAAGGCAGUGGCUUAACCAUUGUUCGCUUUGGAAACUGUUAGACUUGAGUGCAGAAGGGGAGAGUGGAAUUCCAUGUGUAGCGGUGAAAUGCGUAGAUAUAUGGAGGAACACCGGUGGCGAAAGCGGCUCUCUGGUCUGUAACUGACGCUGAGGCUCGAAAGCGUGGGGAGCAAACAGG
RNAcentral lists this ribosomal RNA (267 nucleotides) under uncultured prokaryote. Its description in RNAcentral is "partial 16S ribosomal RNA". It matches the Rfam family "Bacterial small subunit ribosomal RNA", at positions 509 to 776 of the family's 1533-position model. The record is from RNAcentral.